RNAcentral lists this small RNA (130 nucleotides) under Shigella sonnei. Its description in RNAcentral is "RtT sRNA". It matches the Rfam family "RtT RNA". Rfam says of the family: This family represents a bacterial cis-regulatory element known as RtT RNA. Lineage: Bacteria; Pseudomonadati; Pseudomonadota; Gammaproteobacteria; Enterobacterales; Enterobacteriaceae. The record is from RNAcentral.
CUUUUUUGCUAUCUGAGAUAUUCAAAGAUUGAACCUGCAGCAGGUUCGAGUUGAGCGCAGCGAAACAACGGAGCGCUCGCGGCGACGGCCCGAAGGGCGAGCGAAGCGAGUCAUCCUGCACGACCCACCA